RNAcentral lists this ribosomal RNA (460 nucleotides) under uncultured bacterium. RNAcentral's name for it is "partial 16S ribosomal RNA". It matches the Rfam family "Bacterial small subunit ribosomal RNA", at positions 338 to 795 of the family's 1533-position model. The record is from RNAcentral.
CCUACGGGAGGCAGCAGUGAGGAAUAUUGGUCAAUGGGCGGGAGCCUGAACCAGCCAAGUCGCGUGAGGGAAGACGGUCCUAUGGAUUGUAAACCUCUUUAGGCGGGGAGCAAUGCCGGGCACGCGUGCCCGGAGGGAGAGUACCCGCAGAAUAAGCAUCGGCUAACUCCGUGCCAGCAGCCGCGGGAAUACGGGGGUUGCGAGCGUUAUCCGGAUUGAUUGGUUUUAAAGGGUGCGUAGGCGGAUUUUUAAGUCAGCGGUAAAUUGCCUGGGCUCAACCCGGGCCGGCGGUUGAAGCUGGGGAUCUUGAGUGGGCGGAAAGCAGGCGGAAUUCGUCGUGUAGCGGUGAAAUGCUUAGAUAUGACGAAGAACCCCGAGUGCGAAGGCAGCUUGCUGCAGCGGAACUGACGCUGAUGCUCGAAAGCGCGGGUAUCGAACAGGAUUAGAUACCCGGGUAGUC